GACUCUUUAUAAGUUCCACAACAUACAUACCCUUUUUAAUUAUUUUUCUAUCUCUAAGUCUUUUUUGUUUCCAAAUAAUUGAGUGACCAUGGCUUUAAUCUCUUCAAUUUUACAACAUGCCAAGUCUCAUUCUUCAUCUAAAAUAUCUACUUAUAUUCAAAGAAGAUUAUUUUCUAAUGAUGUUAGAAAAGAAAAUAUUGUAAUUGUUGGGGCAGGAAUUGCUGGCCUUGCUUCUGCCCUUUCACUUCAAAGGUUUGGUAUUAGAAGUUUGGUGCUUGAACAAGCUGAAUCAUUGAGAACUGAAGGAAGUUCAAUAACACUUUCUAAAAAUGGAUGGAAGGCACUUGAUGCUAUUGGAGUUGGUGAUGAACUUAGGAGUCAAUUUCUUGAGCUUCAAGGGGUAGUAAUAAAAUCAGAUGAUGGGAAGGAGUUGAACUCAUUUGGGUUCAAAGAUGAGGACAAAAGCCAAGAACUAAGGGUGGUUGAGAGAAGAGUCUUACUUGAAACACUAGCAAGUAAACUACCACCAAAUUCAAUAUCUUUUUCGUCGAAGUUGUCAAAUAUUGAGACAAGUGAAAAUGGUACUAAUACCUUGUUGCAACUUCAAGAUGGUACUCGUGUAUCCGCUGAGGUGGUGAUUGCUUGUGAUGGUGUAUGGUCACCAACGGCUAAAUGGAUGGGAUUUCGACAGCCUAAGUAUGCAGGGCAUAUCGCCUUUCGAGGCCUAGGAUAUUUCCCUGAAGGACAGCCAUAUGAACCAAAAGUAAACUACACGUAUGGAAGCGGAUUACGCUCUGGAUUCGUUCCUGCUUCUAAAACCAAGGUCUACUGGUUUGUCCUGUGCAACAGCUCAUCUCCAGGUCCAAGGAUCACAGAUCCAUCGAUUUUGAGAUAGCAAGCUAAAGAGCUCGUUAGAGAUUGGCCAGUCGCGGACAUAUUAAACCUGAUUAAUCUUACACCAGACGAUACAUUAACAAGAAAUCCCCUUUAUGACCGAUGGCUUUGGCCAGUAAUAAGUCCUCCACCUUUUAGUGGAAGGACAGUGCUUGCUGGAGAUGCAUGGCAUCCAAUGACACCCAACAUGGGCCAGGGUGCGUGUUGCGCGUUGGAGGAUUCAAUAGUUUUGACAGAAAAGUUAGCAGAAGCAAUGAAAUCCAAGCAUAUUUCUGUGGAAGAUGCAUUCAAAGCAUAUGGUAGUGAAAGAUGGAGACGUGUGUUUCCAUUAACAGUAAUGGCAAAUCGCGUUGGAGCACUGCUGCAGUCUGAGAAUAAACUGAUAUGUUCUGUUAGAAAUAAUCUCCUUGUGCCUAAGCUGAAGCCCAGAGCAUUGACGAAACAUACCAAUUAUGAAUUUGAGCAAGCUAAAAGAGACGGACAUUAGUUUUUGAGGGAGGAAAACUUAGCAAUAGCUUGCCAAUAAGAUUUCCCUCGAAUAGCAAUAGACAGAAUGUAUGUUUUCUUACCAGAAAACGAAAAACAAACUAUAGACAGAAAUGUAUUUCAAAGUAAAGAUGUAACAUUUUGUGAUUCAACAAAUUUGCUAAUAGAAGUGUUUAUGCUUCUGUAUUCGAA
This is a non-coding RNA of Solanum lycopersicum (tomato), 1572 nucleotides long. The record is from RefSeq and is a predicted model, not a curated record. Lineage: Eukaryota; Viridiplantae; Streptophyta; Magnoliopsida; Solanales; Solanaceae.